This 2216-nucleotide unclassified non-coding RNA is filed under the name uncultured fungus. RNAcentral describes it as "sequence contains 18S rRNA gene, ITS1, 5.8S rRNA gene, ITS2, 28S rRNA gene". The stretch from base 984 to 2216 matches the Rfam family "Eukaryotic large subunit ribosomal RNA", at positions 1 to 960 of the family's 3401-position model. Lineage: Eukaryota; Fungi. The record is from RNAcentral.
GGAGGGAUCAUUAUUGGAAAAACUCUUUCUAAAAAAAAAAAAAAAGUGGUAGGAAGGGAGGGAAGAGAUAGGGAGAGGGAGAGAAAAAAGUGUUGCUUCUUUUGCUCACUUUUUUUUUACCUCUUUCCUCUUUUUCUUCUCUUUCUACUACUUCAAACAAACGAUCGCAACUAGUAUUUGAUUUGGUUGAAAAAAUAAGCAAGCAAGCAAGCAAGCAAAAACUUUUGGCUUGGCUUGGCUUAAUCAGAUAACAAGUGUUUGCCUGAUAAUUGUGCUCAGUGUGCCCAUUGAUUUGGAUUUGGAUUUGGCCAUUGAGAAACACAAUGGAGAUGUAUACAUAACACACAACUUUCAACAACGGAUCUCUUGGCUCUCACAUCGAUGAAGAACAUAGCAAAGUGUGAAAAUUAAUGUGAAUUGCAGAAUUCAGUGAAUCAUUGAGUUUUUGAACGCAUCUUGCACUCCUUGGUUAUUCCAGGGAGUAUGCCUGGUUGAGCAAUGUGAACAUAUCACAUCAAAGCUUAUUGUUUUUUUGCUAGGAAUAGUAUAGAUGAUAGGCUUUGGAAUUGAGUGGAGAUUACCUUGGUUUGUUUUUUCUUAUAAAAACAAGAAACAAGGUUCACUUGAAAUGAAGGGAAAGUUGAAGAGCAACAGAUAGGAGUGUUUGGUUGGUUGGAACAACAGAUAAGCAGUUGAGUGUUUGGUGUUGGUUGAUUUGAUUUGAUUUGAUUUGGUGGGGGGGGGAGAAAACAGCUUGCUCUAUAACAACAAUGACUUGAUGAGUUGAUAUCAUGACUCUUGGUAAAGUGAGGAAAAGUCUUGUUUAGAGCUGUUUUCUCUGUGCUGCUUUUCGUUCUGAUCAAAACUCUGGGUCUUUUCUCUCUUCCUUACAACUAGGAAAAGAAAGUGGGGGUGGGUGGGGAGUUUUUCUUUUUUACUUAGAAAAAAGAAACUCUCUCUCUCUUUCACUCUCUUCUUAUCAUCAUUCUCAACUCAGGCAAGACUACCCGCUGAAUUUAAGCAUAUAAAUAAGCGGAGGAAAAGAAACUAACAAGGAUUCCCUUAGUAACGGCGAGUGAAGCGGGAAAAGCUCAAUUUUGAAAUCUACCAAGAGUAACAUUCUUGGUCGAAUUGUAGUUUCUAGAAAGAGUGGCUGAGCGAAAGUCAGUUGGAUGCAAGUUCCUUGGAAUGGGACAUCAGAGAGGGUGACAAUCCCGUCCACCAUCCUUCUAACUUUCUCACAGAAAGGCCCUCUUUUCAAAGAGUCGAGUUGUUUGGGAUUGCAGCUCCAAAUGGGUGGUAAAUUUCAUCUAAAGCUAAAUAUGGGUGAGAGACCGAUAGCGAACAAGUACCGUGAGGGAAAGAUGAAAAGUACUCUGAAGAGAGAGUCAAAAGUACGUGAAAUUGUUGAAAGGGAAACGCUUGAAACCAGUCAAGGUUUAUUAGAAAUCAGGAGGGUUGUACCUUGGCAGGAUCAGUAGAGAGAUUGGGUGAUAGUGCCUGACUCCUCUGUUGAUUUUUUCAGCCAUGGGUUGCACCCUCUGUAUUUUUCCAAUAGACAAGUCAGCAUCAGUUUGGGUUGUUUGGGAGAAAGAUAACAGGAUUUGGUUGGGCUUUCGAAGGGCAUUUUUUUUAAAAAAAUGUCCUUUGAAGGCUUAAAGCCUGCUUAUCAUUAUAUCAAACACCAGACUGAGGAUCGCAGUACGAGGCAUUGACUUGGAAUAGAUGGUUGUCUUGGGUAUUGUUCUUGGUAAACAGCUUGCUGAUUACUAAGAAUCUUGAUACCCGAGUCCCAUCCAAUCCAAGCUGGCUUUCGACUUUUUGGAUGCUGACGAAAUGGUUUCAAACGACCCGUCUUGAAACACGGACCAAGGAGUCUAACAUGGAUGCAAGUAUUUGGGUGAUUGGAAACCCAUAUGCGCAAUGAAAGUGAACUGUUUUUUUAAUAGGUAGGAAACCUUCUUUUUAGGGGGAGGAGCAAUCUUUUCCCUGGAGGGUGGGGUAGCACUAUCGACCAAAUCUUGACUAGCUUCGGCUUGAUAGAUUUGAGUAAGAGCAUGCAUGCUGGGACCCGAAAGAUGGUGAACUAUGCCUGAAUAGGGUGAAGUCAGACGAAAGUCUGAUGGAGGCCCGUAGCGAUUCUGACGUGCAAAUCGAUCGUCAAAUUUGGGUAUAGGGGCGAAAGACUAAUCGAACCGUCUAGUAGCUGGUUCCUC